ACAUACAUUUUCCAACACGGAGCGGCUUGCACACAUGCAGCUCUUAGGCCCGGGCCGCACGUCUCAGAAGCCCCGUGUGCGACUUUGACCGCCGCACGAUCCUCUGCCGGGGGAGGUGGGCCCGCUGCGCUUUGGGAGCACCCGCGCCCGACACUGAGGUCUCGGUGCUGUGUUCGGCCUCUUCGUCCCUGCGGGUCCCCUCUGGGAGCAGAGGCGGUCGGAAAACCCUGGGGCUGAAGUGCAGGCUUCGGGAGGACGCGACCUGCCAAGAUCAGCUCCCGGCACGUGAUGGGAGCCUGGCUCACCUUCCCCCAGCGCACGAUGGGCCGCAGCCUCCCCGGUCGGCCUGGCCUGCUGGAAAGGAGCAGCUCUGUUUCCAGAGGCUUCUGGCGAAGCCCACGGCCUCCCAUUGUUGGCUGAUUUAUAAGGAAAGAGGGGAAAGGCCAAGUGUGGAUGCCAUUAGCAUAACCUAAUCCAGACCCCAUGACAAGUCCAGGAUCCUGCAGGGAGAGGGCAUCCUUGAACGUGAAGGACUGGCUUUGGAAACUUGGCCUCCCGGAAGAAAGGUCUCCGGGCCCACCCACACCCACCUUGUGGACGCCCCCGCAGUCGAAUACACUCCACAGGAAGACGGACCACAAACAGCAGCAGCCUCCGGUGUCGGCCCAGUGAUCCGGGAGCUCAGAGUCUUUGCGUCCUCCAGAAUUGUCCUGUGAGUGACUCCCACAGGAUGGAGACUUUUGUGUCUGGCUUCCUUCACUUCGCAGCAGGCUUCGCGGGACCCGUGUGGUGGCACCAGCGUCCCGCCCUUGGUGCUGCUGAGCUUGGCUCUGCAGAAACCCAUGAAAGAGGAUCCUGAAAGAGCAAGGGCGGCCUCCAGGUGAAGGUGGUGGGCGGCCUCCAGGUGAAGGCGGCCUCCAGGUGAAGGUGGUCAGCACCCUCCCUUUGGCCAAGAGGAGACUGCAGUUUCAACUCAAAGAUUAUUCCUGAAUGAUGCAGCAAGCUUAAACUUCCUUAAAAACAAACCUCUGGGAAGAGGAAAACGAGGCAAGAUGCUGAGAAAAAGUCAUCUCCCACUCUGCCCUUCUCUGGCAAAUCGAAGUGUCCUCUUGUGGGAGGCGGUGGGCAGCGACACUCCUGUUGGACGUCAGUGCUCUCGGGAUGGGCCCGGCCACCCCGGAGCAGAACUCACUUAGGGCCUGGUGCCCCUGUGCCCAGUUCUCAGAACGUCGGAGUGCUCAGUUCUCAGAACGCCGGAGUGCCCCAUUCAUAACCUGCAGCCCCGUUCAUAGCCUGCAGCUCCCCUCCUUCCUCUCCUCCCGGUCGUCAGGGAGCACCCCCAGCUCCCCUCCCCACUCUCAAACCCUCCUCCUCCCUCCCCUCUCUCAUUUCCCUGUUUGCAGGAUCUCCUCCUGCCCACUCUCCAGCCCAGGUCCUCCCCUCUCAUCUCCAAUUCUGCUUCAUGGGCCAUGACAGCAGGCAGGCCAUGGCCUGCUCUCAGCAGUUUGAUCGAUGGACUAAGGAGAUCACUCCUAUGAGAGUGAAAAAGUCAAAUGUGCCUGAGAUUCGGAUGGGGAGCUCUCAAAGCUACGGAUUGCAAGAGUCAACACCGCCUCAAAAGUACAAGGCCGGCCGGGUGCAGUGGCUCACACCUGUAAUCCCAGCACUUUGGGAGACUGAGGCGGGUGGAUCACCUGAGGUCAGGAGCUCAAGACCAGCCUGACCAACAUGGUGAAAUCCCGUCUCUAUUAAAAAUACAAAAAAGAUUAGCCGGGUGUGGUGGUGCAUGCUUGUAGUCCCAGCUACUCGGGAGGCUGAGGCAGGGGGAGCACUUGAACCCGGGAGGUGGAGGUUGCAGUGAGCCGAGAUUGCACCAUUGCACUCCAGCCUGGGCAACAGAGUGAGACCCUGCCUCAAAAAAAUAAAAAAAUAAAAGUACGAGGCCCGGUUUAAAUGCAGGAGGAAUCUGGUGAGCGAGUUUCACUCUGAUGCAACAGAAAAGCCAAGCCAAGCCUUGGCUGUGCCUGGUCUUGGCCGGGGAGCCACAGGCAGGGUCUGCUGGUUUCGGUGUCAGGGGCACAUCCCCAGGACCACGUCUGAGAUGGGAAGUGCCUUGAUGGAAAACUGAUACCUUUUUCUUUCCGAGUAACUUUAGAACAUGUCGCUUCAAAUAUAACUAAUAUCCUGAUUUCAGUGGACUUGCAUGGAAGGAAACGCAAGUUCAUUUGCCAGUGGGGGGUGAGGACUGGGAGAGUGGGGAGCAGGGUGGGGAAGAGGGGAGCAUUCCACAAGCCGCAAGAGCCUGGACACCUCCAGCCUUCAAUAAAUAGCAUUUGAAUUUGCUGUGCCUAA
This 2352-nucleotide long non-coding RNA is filed under the name Homo sapiens (human). RNAcentral describes it as "uncharacterized LOC105371401, transcript variant 2 (LOC105371401)". The record is from RNAcentral. Lineage: Eukaryota; Metazoa; Chordata; Mammalia; Primates; Hominidae.